This 363-nucleotide long non-coding RNA is filed under the name Cavia porcellus (domestic guinea pig). RNAcentral describes it as "lncRNA (ENSCPOG00000032051.1)". The record is from RNAcentral. Lineage: Eukaryota; Metazoa; Chordata; Mammalia; Rodentia; Caviidae.
CCGAGAUUGAGCUAGCUAUGUCUGUGAGGCGCCUCUGUCCGUUGGGCGCCCUGAAGCCUUCAGUCUCUCUUGCCUCUGACCACUUUUCACUCCCCUCCGGCUCUCUCCACCUCUCCAGGGCCAGGCUUUGGAGAUGAUGAUCUUAGGCCACCCAAGACAAGAAGCACUGCCCACAGAUGCAUGUGCGUUCAAGGGAGAAUGAGUGACUCACAUUGGGUGCUCAACAUCAGCCCACCCAGACAUGCUCAGAGAUACAAGCAAGGAACACAGUAUGGAGCCCAAUGCCAGGGAAUCUGAACUUUUGCCACCUCUCUUGUUACUGUAUCUAACCUUCUGUAAGUAUGAAACACAUUUAUAAAACUG